AUGCCACAAGUUCUUUCUCCUCCUGAUCAUCUUCCUAUGCAGGGUCGAACUCUUAAGUCGGAUUUGCUCAUUACGGGGACCAAAAUAUUUUCUGACGCUGCUUUCAGAAGUUCAAAAGUUCCUGGUCUAUUACAGGGAGCAGUUGCUACUGGAAUAGGGGUCUAUCUUGUUUUGCCUCAAGAUCGUUUUGAAAUCAAUGUGCAAAUUCAAGCAUCAGCUCCUCCCACUACUUCUCCUCUACAUGCAGAAGCUCUGGCUCUUUCUUUUGCAGCUCAAGUGGCUAGUAAGCUCAAUAUUUGGCAGCCAACCUUUCUCAUGGAUUGUUUCUCUUUAUCUUUGGUGGCUGCUACCGGCAAGAUUAUGGAAUCUACCACCCCUUGA
RNAcentral lists this ribosomal RNA (381 nucleotides) under Triticum aestivum (bread wheat). RNAcentral describes it as "partial small subunit ribosomal RNA". Lineage: Eukaryota; Viridiplantae; Streptophyta; Magnoliopsida; Poales; Poaceae. The record is from RNAcentral.